Molecule: long non-coding RNA, 229 nt
Filed under: Sorghum bicolor (sorghum)
Lineage: Eukaryota; Viridiplantae; Streptophyta; Magnoliopsida; Poales; Poaceae
Description: long non-coding RNA (SBIC_LNC018226)
Source: RNAcentral
UAAAACUAAAUGUGUACUAUAAUCCUCCAACUUUUAAAAUGGUCGGGUUUUUUUUUUCACUUCGGACUACUGUCCCGUGUCCUUACGUCCCCACCCCACGCUAGCAGUGGGUUUCACAUGUUAGUCACUCAAUCUCCAACGUCUUCUCUUUUCUCGUUGUCCUCUCUCUCUCUCUUCUCUCUCACCUACCCUUCUCCUCGUUGCUAAAUAGGACUAAAAUCUAAUCUGU